AAAAUAGUCUUUACAAAAAGUCAAAAGGAACCUCAACCUUUUGGGAAAAAGAUUUUUGCUUUUAUAAAAGCUAAAGAAAAAGCGACCUUGUUGACUAUUGAGUCCUCAAGGAUGGUUGUUGAUUGCCAGGGUUCGCUUCACAUCCGACCUUACUCAUAUUCAUAGAUAUAAUGCCGAUAAAGAGUGUAUAUAACUUUGAAAAUUUUAUUUCCGGCAAAAAUUUUGCACAUAGUCAAAAUCUCUGCGUGUGUGACUUUGUGUGAUCAAUGUAUACAUACAUUUGUGUAUAUAUACCUACAGUUACAACUUAUUAACAUGUAUCAAUCUAUAUAUCCAUUCUCGCUCUGAUACUACACGGUGCACAUGUCAUUCGAAGUAACUCCGUGGGUAUAACGCUUGUUUCCGCUUCAUAUCUCCGUGACGCGCAACGAUUCUGAUGAGGUAUUAGCUAUGGAAGAUGUGGACGGAAAAUUAAAGAUGAAUGACUUACUCGGAGGAAAUUCUGUUAGUGGCUCAUUGUUUGUCUGCCUGAACUUGUGCUGCAUCCAAUCUAGUAGCUGCAAUGAAGAUAAUUAACAGGUCUAGUUUUGAGAGAUCAGUGAGUAAUCAGUUUUCGGAUAUAGAGAAUUAGGAUGACAGCUUUUUAUUCUAUCGUGAUGAAGAUACGCCCGUGGAUAAUAGUCCAGAAGGUGUUAAAGUUCCAAUCCAUGACUGGUGGACAAGAACAUAGGGAAAAUAACAAAUCUUUGGGGUUGUAUGCAUGUGCAAAGAUCAAAUAAUUCGGCCAAUAAUAUCUGGACCAACACGUUGACGUUUUUAUGUUAGUUUUGCAUGUGGUAGGAGCCCAGGGUUGCAUUAAUGUAAUGGCUAGUCUUAAAAUAAGGGGUGCAUCUAGUGGUCACAUAGUUUCACCUAUCAUGUGAUUUACUGAUAUGUAGUGAGAUGCAUGGAGCCUUUAGCUGUUACUAGGUUACAGCAUUUCACACAAUCAACUACCUCUUGUACCUUGCAUGUUAUUCCGCUUGCAUUAAAAUAAAUUUGGCUGAUUUUCAAGC
Molecule: long non-coding RNA, 1055 nt
Organism: Erigeron canadensis
Lineage: Eukaryota; Viridiplantae; Streptophyta; Magnoliopsida; Asterales; Asteraceae
Exons: 3
Source: RefSeq, a predicted model, not a curated record